AGUCUAGUGAUGAAAUACUAACUAAUCAUACCAUCUUUCUGGACUGAACGGUUGCUAUGCGGUCAUGCUAUCAUUCUGCAAUUAUGGGGCCA
Molecule: small nucleolar RNA, 92 nt
Organism: Lolium rigidum
Lineage: Eukaryota; Viridiplantae; Streptophyta; Magnoliopsida; Poales; Poaceae
Product: small nucleolar RNA SNORD96 family
Exons: 1
Source: RefSeq, a predicted model, not a curated record